GUGCCAGCCGCCGCGGUAAUACAGAGGGUGCGAGCGUUGUUCGGAAUCACUGGGCGUAAAGCGCGCGCAGGCGGGCGUGUAAGUCAGAAGUGAAAUUCCGGGGCUCAACCCCGGAGCUGCUCCUGAUACUGCAGGUCUGGAGACCGGUAGAGGCUGGUGGAAUUCCCGGUGUAGCGGUGGAAUGCGUAGAGAUCGGGAAGAACACCCGUGGCGAAGGCGGCCAGCUGGGCCGGUUCUGACGCUGAGGCGCGAAAGCGUGGGGAGCAAACAGGAUUAGAUACCCGCGUAGUCC
RNAcentral lists this ribosomal RNA (292 nucleotides) under uncultured bacterium. RNAcentral describes it as "partial 16S ribosomal RNA". It matches the Rfam family "Bacterial small subunit ribosomal RNA", at positions 505 to 796 of the family's 1533-position model. The record is from RNAcentral.